GUUACUCCUUUGCGGGUUGGUUUCGCACAGUGUGAUUCUGGGAGUGUGGAAGGGAUUCAACAAUUGCCUGGGAUGGAUGCCAGUGGGAGGCAAAAAGGCAAUGGGAGGUGAGUUGAACUCAAAGAGGUCUGUAAAUAGGGGUUCACAGUUUCCCUCAGGAUUCGUGACGAGAGGGGUGUGAAUGGUUUCAGAACUCACAGAGUUAAAGAGUUCUGGUGACGUCUCUUUCCUGAGGCGUGGUUAGAAACACUUAAGGGAGGGGUUUGACUCCGUGUGUUUCAGUCUGACUUUCGGACGUGAUGCGAAAGGGAGAAUGUGUCAGUUCUCGCCAGGUCUGAAUUUAUGAUGUUAUUCUUCAUGAUUAAAAGGCA
This 371-nucleotide long non-coding RNA is filed under the name Podarcis lilfordi (Lilford's wall lizard). The record is from RNAcentral. Lineage: Eukaryota; Metazoa; Chordata; Lepidosauria; Squamata; Lacertidae.